GGUCGGACGUCGACCGUUUACGACCCUUAACUACGGACUAAGGGUCCGAAAACGGGUCGAACGGUACGACGGGGGCAACCCUGGUGGCGAGUGGCGAACGGGUGAGUAAUAUAUCGGAACGUACCCGGAAAUGGGGGAUAACGUAGCGAAAGUUACGCUAAUACCGCAUAUGCCCUAAGGGGGAAAGCGGGGGAUUCGCAAGAACCUCGCGUUUUCGGAGCGGCCGAUAUCGGAUUAGCUAGUAGGUGAGGUAAAGGCUCACCUAGGCGACGAUCCGUAGCUGGUCUGAGAGGACGACCAGCCACACUGGAACUGAGACACGGUCCAGACUCCUACGGGAGGCAGCAGUGGGGAAUUUUGGACAAUGGGCGCAAGCCUGAUCCAGCCAUGCCGCGUGAGUGAAGAAGGCCUUCGGGUUGUAAAGCUCUUUCAGCCGGAAAGAAAACGCACGGGUUAAUAACCUGUGUGGAUGACGGUACCGGAAGAAGAAGCACCGGCUAACUACGUG
Molecule: ribosomal RNA, 508 nt
Filed under: uncultured bacterium
Lineage: Bacteria
Description: bacterial SSU rRNA
Rfam family: Bacterial small subunit ribosomal RNA
Source: RNAcentral